Molecule: ribosomal RNA, 829 nt
Filed under: Levilactobacillus brevis
Lineage: Bacteria; Bacillati; Bacillota; Bacilli; Lactobacillales; Lactobacillaceae
Description: bacterial SSU rRNA
Rfam family: Bacterial small subunit ribosomal RNA
Source: RNAcentral
AACGAAGCUUCCGUUGAAUGACGUGCUUGCACUGAUUUCAACAAUGAAGCGAGUGGCGAACUGGUGAGUAACACGUGGGGAAUCUGCCCAGAAGCAGGGGAUAACACUUGGAAACAGGUGCUAAUACCGUAUAACAACAAAAUCCGCAUGGAUUUUGUUUGAAAGGUGGCUUCGGCUAUCACUUCUGGAUGAUCCCGCGGCGUAUUAGUUAGUUGGUGAGGUAAAGGCCCACCAAGACGAUGAUACGUAGCCGACCUGAGAGGGUAAUCGGCCACAUUGGGACUGAGACACGGCCCAAACUCCUACGGGAGGCAGCAGUAGGGAAUCUUCCACAAUGGACGAAAGUCUGAUGGAGCAAUGCCGCGUGAGUGAAGAAGGGUUUCGGCUCGUAAAACUCUGUUGUUAAAGAAGAACACCUUUGAGAGUAACUGUUCAAGGGUUGACGGUAUUUAACCAGAAAGCCACGGCUAACUACGUGCCAGCAGCCGCGGUAAUACGUAGGUGGCAAGCGUUGUCCGGAUUUAUUGGGCGUAAAGCGAGCGCAGGCGGUUUUUUAAGUCUGAUGUGAAAGCCUUCGGCUUAACCGGAGAAGUGCAUCGGAAACUGGGAGACUUGAGUGCAGAAGAGGACAGUGGAACUCCAUGUGUAGCGGUGGAAUGCGUAGAUAUAUGGAAGAACACCAGUGGCGAAAGCGGCUGUCUAGUCUGUAACUGACGCUGAGGCUCGAAAGCAUGGUAGCGAACAGGAUUAGAUACCCUGGUAGUCCAUGCGUAACGAUGAGUGCUAGUGUGAGGUUUCGCCCUCAGUGCUGCAGCUACGCAUAGCACUC